CAGCAUUCAAGUAUGGGUACAACUGGAGUUAUUUAAAGACCUAAUGGAUGAUGGGAACAACUAAACACAUCAUAAACUAAUGCAGAUAGAUGACUCUGCACAUUGUGAAAUUCUGGCUCAAACAAGGCAGUUUUUCAUGUCUGGUAAAAUGGAUUCCCAUUCUAACAAAGAUGGAAAAUAUGUGAAAACUGUUACAGUAAACAAUAGCAAAGAUGGUAGAUUAUAGCCUGGUGCUGACACAUGCCAAGGUCUGAUGGGAAUUAUGGAAAAACACUGGCAAAGGGCGUGGUAGUUUACAGCCUGGUGCCAAUUGGUCCUAAAGUUUGUUUGCAAGCCAUAAUCCAAAACCUUGUGACAUUUUUUGUGUUUCUUCCUUCCUCGACAGGAAGACGGCACCAUAAAUCUGUUUAUCAUCUCAUAACAAAAGGUUAAUGUGAGACUUUCAGGUAGAGAUAGAAGUCAAUGCAAACAUGGCUCGCUUCUUUUUAUUCCAGAUCGCAGUGCUUUAGGAUGGGGUGGAAGUAAACCUACACAAUGAUGGUGUGCUAGGGUGAACAGUUUGACUAAACAGGAUAAGCAGGAAAAAAACAGGACAUGAAUUGUUUAAGAGUGACUUUGACAAGGGCCAAACAGUAACUUUACAAGAUCAUCUCCAAAUCUGCAGCUCUUCAUAGGUGUCCCUCGGUCAGCAGAGCUCAGUACCUGCCACAUGUGUUCUGAGGAAGGUAAAACAGAAAACCAGCAAGCAGGUGAUCAUGAAGAGCUCCCCUCAUCAUGAGUGUGUUUCAAGUGCAAGGUGAUUAUGUAGCCCUCUGAUAUGAAAUCAUUUUGCCUCUUAUGGUUUCUUUUCAAAAUAACAUUUUCACAAAAACACAUUUCAAACAAAUCAAACAUCAGCAUUAUAAUCUUAAUGUCUUAAUCUAACUCAACCCAGAGGUUUAUGAGCAAAUGAAAUGGUCAGGAAAAUAUUUAAAUUGUGUAAGAUGUUAAUAAUAAAUGCAGCAACUGAGCCGUGUUAACUGAAUUUGGUUGCUGCUCUCGCUCUCUCUUCUUUGGCUUCAUCUAGUGGAGGAGUAGUGUGCUGCACAGCGAGAUGGUGUAGAAGGGCUGUAUGUUAGAUAUCACAGUGGUAAUUUUUUUUUUCUUUUUAUAUACAGAGUCAUUUAACCUUAUCUGCAAAGUUGCAGUGUUUUCUGUGAAAGUAAAGGACCAAAAAAGGGGAAAGGUUCAGGCAAAUAUUUGAAGUAAGUAUUAAGAAGAAAAACAAAGUCUUUUUAAAAUUAGUUUUGUAGUUGGGUUAUUACAAGACAAGACUCACUCUGUUAAAGCAUUAAAGUCUGCCAUAAGGCAUGUCUCUGUUGAAUAGCUAUAAAAAAGGCAGUGAUUGAAGGUCUGAAGCUUUGUUUUAUUCUAACUUUUUGCACAACUACCAUUUUACAUCCAAGGUUAUGCAGUCAAAACUUUAUAACGUAGCUCAUGGGGGUUUGGUCAAAGUAACUGAGAGGUUACUGUUAUGUACACAUAAUGAUAAGAUUUUUUGACCAAGGUGGAUCAUGACCUCCUUUAGAAAAGUAAAAACUGUGAUUAAUUGUUGGUGAAAAGUUAUGAGGUGUUUUAUCAGAGGCUGUAAAUUUCAUGUGAUACUCAUUCCUUCAGAGUGGUUACAGAUAUCAAGAAUAAAAGUAUAAAACUUGUCUUUUUUUGUCAUUCUUUGUCUGAUUGCUUUUUCAAGUCAUAGUAGAUAUAAUAUUUUCUGUUUGAGCUGUACACCUUUUGAGUUCAAAACAGACACAGAGAAACUGCUGUGUUACUUACGUAAAAGUAAAAUGAGGCGAGCCAAGCAAGAGAAGGAAAACAAGCUUUUUUCUGCAUUUUCAUCCGCUCUUAUGUGUCCUUUGGGGACCCAGAAUGUCUUCAGACUGUGUCCAGCACACUGUUCCACUGAUAGUUUGUUUAUACUCUGGUUUAAUGUUCAUACUGGGACUGAUACUCCAAUGCAGUUUAAAUCUGUAAACUUUAGUCCAAACAAUAAUCCACUUUCCCAUGUUGAACCAGAGACUACUUCGACUUCAAUAUCAACAACAGAGUUCAGCCUCAGUAUUUAGUUUACUUCUUCUAUUCUGAGUACAGUGGCUUUUACAUUACAAUUAAAACUCCCAAACACACAGACAUUAGAUGUUGAGCCUCCAAAUCGGAGAACUCCAACUAUGACUUAUUUGAUUUCCCUUCAAGAUGUUGGGAAAAGCAAGAGGAAGGAAAAAACUGAGUAAUAUUCAUCAUAUACAAAAUGAUCACAAGAUGACAUUCAGAAGCCAUUGAAAAUCAAAACAACAAUAAAAUAAAAAGCAGAAAAGUUUAAAAUAUACUACGACUUGCAGUUUAAACAUUAAAUCUGAAAAGUCACAAUUAUAUUUUAUGAUUAAAUUUGAAAAUAGAACCCUGGCGAUUGGCUGCGGACUCCGCUGAACAGCAGCCGAACAGAAAGAAACCGGUGGAAACCGACACAUUAACUUGAAUGGAAACUAUCAGUUGCGAUUGGCGCAUAUGUCCUUCUCGACGCUGUUCCAGAUGCAGUGGAAAUUGGGAGUAAGAGUUGGGUCCAGACUCUGGUGACAAUGAGCAUGCCUGCUCCUGAUAAUUUAAUUGAUCUGGAUGAACCACCCACUCAUGAUCCCAACUCUGAUCCAGCUAGCUUGUUAGGAAAUACACAAAUUAACACACAUAUAAAAUGAAAGAUGAUUUUGUGAUCCACAGUGUGAGUUUUUUACAGCAGUUUUUCAGUAAAAUUUUAAGAAGAACCUAAGUGGCUGUAGUGCAGUAGACCCAUCAACAGUCAUCUGACAGUGAUUUACUUUUAGAUCAGCAGGCAUCAGUAUGGGACUCAGCUGUUCACUAUCAAAUGUGGUCUCUCUCUCUCUUCCUUCCUUCUUUCUCACUCUUCAAGUCAAUGGCCUUUAACCAUGGCAGCACAUUGAAAGGGAAGUUUUGGCUGGAAGUCUGUCAUCGCUAUAGCUGCUGCCUACAACUCAAACCCCAUAAAGGCUGGACAGUCAUCGGACAGUAGCUGAUUGGUCCUGAGACCAUAUGUUGAUGGGUUUUUUUCUGCUUUCAUUGACUAAAAGAGAGCUCUGUGUUGUGAUGCAGGUCCUCAAAGCUCUGCUCGUAAACUCUUGACACAAAAGCUAUCAGUCCCCACGCUCAGUCAAACGGUUAGGGCUUCUUUAAUGUGCAGUCAGCAGUUUUGAGGCGAGAAAGGGAAUUACCAUGGAGAAUGUUCAAAGUCUCUGUGAUUAGCAAGAAGGAAUAAGCUCUUUCUGCAAACUGGCCUCCCAAGUCCAGAGUAUGUAUGUGAGAGUUAUGCAGUAGAAGUUUAGGGAAUGGCUAUCACAGAUUUCUCUGUUUUCUCAUAAAUAUGUCUGAGGUAAGGUCUUCUUUUAUUGAUCAUACUUUGCUCUUUGUUGUUCAGCUAAAGUGUAAUUGUUCAAAACUACAUUAUUUGUUGCAACACCUUCACAUCUAUGUUGAUUGUCUUAGUUGUUGUGUUAGCAUCAGAACAAGUAACUUGAACUAGCCAGUGAGGCAGCUUGGGAAGUGGAAGAGGAUGUUUGUCUGCAGACAGAGGCAGGAACUAUUUAAGAUGUCUCAGGGUGUGUUGCCUGUUACAUGUUGUGCACCAGUUAAGAAAAUACUACCGUAUGGAUUAAAUUUGAUGUGAAGAAUAGACUCUUCAGUUGUACAUGUUGGGUCUCAUGAGAAGACUCAUGUUACCCUUUCUGGUAUCCUUGAGGUCGAUUUGAUACCAUCCAGUGUUUAAAGAUACCAUGAGAAACCUUCGGACUGUAUUGAUUUUAGAGUCCCCGAACUCUUGACUGAUAUUGACCCAUUCUUGUGUUUGUGGUGUGUGGAAAUUUCACAUCAUUUUUUAUCUGUCAAAUGUACCACUCUGAUAAUUUUUUCUUAUGAAAAUUGUAAACAAAGGCCAUCUUGGUAAACUGUAGGCAAAUGCUUCAUCAUCAGGCUUUAACAACAACAAUAUAGAAGUGAGAUAUGUCAGUCAUAGUCUCAGUUGCUUUUGUUAUUCACAAAAAAAUGUGUUGGAGAAUCUAUAUCUGUCUAUUUUAAAGCCAAUGGAAAACCUCCUCACAGGAGCUUUAACUUCUCUGAAUUAAUCGAUCUAGCUUUUUCUAGCUUUUUCCUUGAAUAUUUGAUGACCUAGUGGGGCAAAUGGAUAAGUUAACAUCAUGAUGUACUUUUAAUGCCAGUACACACCCAGACUGCUCUAUUAGUCUUAACCAUAUAAGAAAUAACACUUUACACACAUUUGGUUUAGUUGUUUUGGUUGACACUGAGGUUACGAUGACAUGCAAGGUAAACAAAAAGAAAGAAAACCUUCUCCUGCUUUAGGGCCCUAACCCAACAUUGCUAUGAUGCAAGAUCCUCAAAUACUCCCCAAGAUAUGGAAAGAGAAACACCAUCAAGAACAUGGAUUUUUCCUGGGACAGGGUGGAGAAGGCAUAUGGUUCCACACAAGGACAAUCAUUAUUCAUACAACACAAAUUGUUCUGUGUGCAUUGACCACAUGCUCUCUUUUAAAUGAAAAUGGCGUUCAAGAGAAGGUUUAAAAUUGUUUUAUGGCUCUUGGACAGUGAAGCCUUUCUCAACGUUUGAAAUAAUGGGUACUUCCACUGGCCAAUAUUGACAGUGUGUGUUUUUCCUAGCUCUAGGAAUGCUAAAGCUAACUCGAGCUGGACACACACAACAAGUCAAUCAUUUAGUUUUAUCUCAAUCUGCAAAUUUUCUGAUUGACACAUAUAAAGUUUUGUUGAUGUGUAAAGGGUGGGGAGGGAUUAUGUUGUAAAAGAGCAAUUCAGGUAGUCAACAAAGAAACAUUAUGCACCUCAUUCAGAAACUGGGGUGACAACUCUGAUUGUGGUCAUUUUAAAAAGAUUUAAAUCACUGGAGUCAGUUUGAUUCAAAGGAUACAGGCUGUCAGUGGAUAUAGAUUAAAUCCCCUCUCCCUUCUCAGAAAAAGAGACUCAACUCUUAUCCAGAAGAGAUUUCAAUCAACUUCGGCAUUACAUAAUUUCCUUGGUUGCCUCCUAACCUUGUGGGUGACGUUUGGUUGAAAAUUUCACUUGCUUUUGCUUUUUUUAUUUCUGUGUUUACAAAAAAAACUUUGAUGCCAACCCAACAUUCACAAUAAAACCUAAAAGUCCCCUUAUGGCGCUCAAAAACCCGUUUUGACAGUCUAAAUCAAUCUAUCCCAAUCAUGUCAGUGAGAGAAAAUACCUUUGGUGCAGCACACUGAACUCAGUUUACUCACACAACACUGACUCCCGAUACAACUCUAAGGGUUUGCUUUGUCUCCAUCUAGAUGAAUUGAUGGAUGUGAAUCAGUGAUGUGGACUAAACUGGAGCCAGACUACUUUGGCUGUUCUUUGAAAGUGUAACACAAUGAAUGACUUACAUCAUAUAUGCAUUGAACAGUCUAAUUGUCCAAGGUCUUUGUUUUUCUAUGGGAGCUCAUCCAGAAGUUCAGGUCUUGGCCAGAUCAAGCCACUCCAGCUCCGAAUUGGGUUUUCAGUAAUUGUUCUGAUUGAGGAAGCAUGAACACAAAGAGCUUAUGCAAUAGUUACUCAAUCCUUCUCACUAUUGGAUCCUUUUUGAGGCCAGUUUGGUUUGAUUAGAGAAAAAAAAAAUGAAAAUAAGCCUUUAGGUGGAUGGGCUUGGAAGAGGGUCAGUGAUUAUUUACAAUUAGAAAAACAGUGCAUAUAGAGUGCCAAGGACAUCCUUCAUGGAUAGAAAACAAACAUAUUCUUUCUAAAAAUACCACUUUUGGGUGGAGACACACAGAAAUAGAGACAUAAGUUUAUUGUUUCUGUUCCUUUUCCUCGGUUAUGUAACUGCUGAAUAAAUGUGAGACAGGAAUGUUCUGAGCUGAAGUACACACAGUUAAUAACAUGUUGGCAUUUACAUAACACUUUUAUUGUUCCACUUUCCCAAUAUUUUUUUUUUUUGUUUUUGACAAAUGGUUAUUUCAUGACAAAGAAAAUGUGGUUCAUGUUUAUUUUCUACAUUCAAAUCACAAUUUCUGUUUUCAGUCUUGCCUAGUGAAUCGGUUGAAAAAAUGAUAUUAUGAGACAGCUAUCAUCUUAUUUUUUUAAUGUUAUCUUUUUUAUCUUACUCUAAUCCUAUUUUUACCAUAAAGGAAGACUAAAGUUUUAUAUUUAUCACAAAAGUCAUAUAUUAUUACCUGACAAUGCAAAUAUUUAGACACGUCAAAACAGACAACCGGCCAGAUACCAAGAACAACCUUGAGAAUUUAUAACGUCUUGUCUGUUAAUUUCUUUACAUCUUCAGAUAGGAUGGAAAACAGUGCAAGAAAAAGAAAUGUCGAUGGAUUUUCUGAGCCUGCUGUGGCCAUGUAAAAACAAAAGAUUAAUGAUUCGGGAGAGGAUAACAAAACAAAACAAAACAAAGAUUUGUCACCCAAAACGGUUUUCCCAGUGGAUUUAUUUAUCAUCAUGUUGCUGCUGUUGAGAUUUUCAGAUAAGACCUCAUUUUUUUUCAAAUUGGAACAGCCUUCAGUUGGUUAAAUCUCUGCUGCUGUUUAACUAUACAUCUGAAGAAGUUUUGGUUAAUGUUUUCCCCUCCGAGUUCUGAGUUGUCUGAAGUCCAUACUUCUUGCAGUUUAAGUUAUGCAGAAACCCAAACUUUCUAUUGACCCUUGAGCUCAACUCUGCAAUAGGAUGCAAUCACAGCUCUCAUUCAGGCAUAUUGUUAACUUCUUUAUCAAUGUAGCUGUACCAUUCAUCUGCUUCAUUGACACUUAGUCCUUAACUGAUGUAUGGUUCAUAUUAGUUUGUCAUAAAAGAUUUGUAGUGUUAUCAAGAUCACAUGAACCUUUAUGUUUCACUGCAGUGCGGCUGUAAUUUAGCCACCUUUUCUUACAUCAUGGUCAUAUUGAAUGCUGGAUGUCACAAAACAUCCUGUACUUAUGUUUAUUUCUAGGGAACCUUGACCCAUGAACUGAAAAUAUAUAUAUUUGCAAUUUUUCCUAAAUAUUAAAAAGUCAACAUAAUUACAAUAUGAUCUUUGUCCCAAAGCUUUACUUUUAUUUACAAGUCACCAAGGCAGUCCAUCUCAGAAAUCCUAAAAAAGUUACAUAUUUUCCAUGAGCCCAGCCAGUGCCUCUCUCUGAGUUCAUCUUGCUUAGGAAAAAAAAAAAACUGGAUCCGUUAAGUUUAGCUCAGUGCUCUCAGUCGGUCUCAUCUAAAAAUUCCAUCCACAAAAAGGCCGUUUUGGAAGUGAGUGCCUCUGCUUUGGUCUACCUCUGACAUCUUGCAAAGAUUUUCAUGAGAAAUGAAUAAAUGAAUUCUUGUCUGAAUCUUGUUAAAUUUCAGCCACAAUCACAGUCCUAAAAUUGGUGGCAACC
RNAcentral lists this long non-coding RNA (7435 nucleotides) under Xyrichtys novacula (pearly razorfish). The record is from RNAcentral. Lineage: Eukaryota; Metazoa; Chordata; Actinopteri; Labriformes; Labridae.